RNAcentral lists this long non-coding RNA (483 nucleotides) under Androctonus crassicauda. The record is from RNAcentral. Lineage: Eukaryota; Metazoa; Arthropoda; Arachnida; Scorpiones; Buthidae.
CCAUAAACGGGUAAACUCGUUCAUACACAUAUAAACGAGUGCCCUGUUGUCUAAGGUAUAGCCCCUGAGCAGCGGUAAGGUCUCCCCAGCAAAGAUCCCAUCCACGCCGCUCAGGAUCUUCCCCAAGACAAGACAUACCUCAGCAGCCACCAACUUGGAGUCUGGAUAGCCCUCCUUGAUGAUGGCCAGCCGAAGAGAAGCCACAUCCUUUGAACAGGUCCCCGGUUAAUGACCCCGAGGUCCCCUCGAAGACCCUACCCCCUCAGAAGAGGAAGCGGACAUCACAACUCUAGCACCCCCGCUGUCAUCAGAAGUACCAGCAGGGGGACCAGACAUCUAUGCCAGUUGGGAGAGCACCCCGGUAGCCAAACACCACCAGUAUUGACAACCUGCCCUCUAACCUUCCUCCGCUUUCGCCUGGCCGCCCCAGACAAACGAGCCUUCCGCAGACCAGGUUUACUUACGGAGGAACCACCAACAGAA